UACGUAGGGGGCAAGCGUUGUCCGGAAUCAUUGGGCGUAAAGCGCGUGUAGGCGGCCAGGUAAGUCCGUUCUGAAAGCCCGGGGCUCAACCCCGGGAGGCGGAUGGAUACUGCUUGGCUCGAGUCCGGAAGAGGUGAGUGGAAUUCCCGGUGUAGCGGUGAAAUGCGCAGAUAUCGGGAGGAACACCAAUGGCGAAGGCGGCUCACUGGCCCGAUACUGACGCUGAGGCACGAAAGCGUGGGGAGCAAAGCAGG
This 254-nucleotide ribosomal RNA is filed under the name uncultured bacterium. RNAcentral's name for it is "partial 16S ribosomal RNA". It matches the Rfam family "Bacterial small subunit ribosomal RNA", at positions 524 to 777 of the family's 1533-position model. The record is from RNAcentral.